CUUGACCGAGCCGAGGAGCAGCGGCCGGCCGGCGGGCCGGUCCUGGCCGUAGGUGGCCAGGAGGGCCUGGGCCUC
Molecule: non-coding RNA, 75 nt
Organism: Streptomyces sp.
Lineage: Bacteria; Bacillati; Actinomycetota; Actinomycetes; Kitasatosporales; Streptomycetaceae
Rfam family: ASpks TB sRNA
Source: Rfam